Molecule: ribosomal RNA, 327 nt
Filed under: Triticum aestivum (bread wheat)
Lineage: Eukaryota; Viridiplantae; Streptophyta; Magnoliopsida; Poales; Poaceae
Description: partial small subunit ribosomal RNA
Source: RNAcentral
AUGCUUAGAAUGAAAAGAGCACCAUUUGCCAGGCUUGUCGAGACCUUCAGGAGCAGGGGGCUGUUCCAAGAUAGCAUCAACACUAGUGUCGAAGAGCAAGUGGCCAUGUUCCUCCAUGUUGUUGGCCAUAACCAGAGGUUCAGGGUCAUUCACAACACGUUCAGGAGAUCAAUGGAGAUCAUCUCUAGGUACUUCAAGCAGGUGCUUUAUGCUAUUGGGGAGCUUAGAGGAGAGAUGGUCAGGAGACCAUCUGGCCAGACUCCACCCAAGAUUCGCGGAAGCCCAAGAUGGUAUCCAUACUUCAAGAUCAGUCUAUGGAGAGACUAG